This 860-nucleotide ribosomal RNA is filed under the name Purpureocillium lilacinum. RNAcentral describes it as "LSU rRNA". It matches the Rfam family "Eukaryotic large subunit ribosomal RNA", at positions 74 to 965 of the family's 3401-position model. Lineage: Eukaryota; Fungi; Ascomycota; Sordariomycetes; Hypocreales; Ophiocordycipitaceae. The record is from RNAcentral.
AUUGCCCCAGUAACGGCGAGUGAAGCGGCAACAGCUCAAAUUUGAAAUCUGGCCCCCAGGGCCCGAGUUGUAAUUUGCAGAGGAUGCUUUUGGCGCGGUGCCUUCCGAGUUCCCUGGAACGGGACGCCAUAGAGGGUGAGAGCCCCGUCUGGUCGGACGCCUAGCCUGUGUAAAGCUCCUUCGACGAGUCGAGUAGUUUGGGAAUGCUGCUCUAAAUGGGAGGUAUAUGUCUUCUAAAGCUAAAUACCGGCCAGAGACCGAUAGCGCACAAGUAGAGUGAUCGAAAGAUGAAAAGCACUUUGAAAAGAGGGUUAAAUAGUACGUGAAAUUGUUGAAAGGGAAGCGCUUGUGACCAGACUUGGGCCCGGUGGAUCAUCCAGCGUUCUCGCUGGUGCACUCCGCCGGGUUCAGGCCAGCAUCAGUUCGCCGCGGGGGAAAAAGGCUUCGGGAACGUGGCUCCUACGGGAGUGUUAUAGCCCGUUGCAUAAUACCCUGGGGCGGACUGAGGUUCGCGCUCCGCAAGGAUGCUGGCGUAAUGGUCAUCAGCGACCCGUCUUGAAACACGGACCAAGGAGUCGUCUUCGUAUGCGAGUGUUCGGGUGUAAAACCCCUACGCGUAAUGAAAGUGAACGCAGGUGAGAGCUUCGGCGCAUCAUCGACCGAUCCUGAUGUUCUCGGAUGGAUUUGAGUAAGAGCAUACGGGGCCGGACCCGAAAGAAGGUGAACUAUGCCUGUAUAGGGUGAAGCCAGAGGAAACUCUGGUGGAGGCUCGCAGCGGUUCUGACGUGCAAAUCGAUCGUCAAAUAUGGGCAUGGGGGCGAAAGACUAAUCGAACCUUCUAGUAGCUGGUUUCCGCCGAU